AGUGAACGCUGGCGGUAGGCCUAACACAUGCAAGUCGAACGGCAGCACAGUAAGAGCUUGCUCUUACGGGUGGCGAGUGGCGGACGGGUGAGGAAUACAUCGGAAUCUACUUUUUCGUGGGGGAUAACGUAGGGAAACUUACGCUAAUACCGCAUACGACCUACGGGUGAAAGUAGGGGAUCUUCGGACCUUGCGCGAUUGAAUGAGCCGAUGUCGGAUUAGCUAGUUGGCGGGGUAAAGGCCCACCAAGGCGACGAUCCGUAGCUGGUCUGAGAGGAUGAUCAGCCACACUGGAACUGGGACACGGUCCAGACUCCUACGGGAGGCAGCAGUGGGGAAUAUUGGACAAUGGGCGCAAGCCUGAUCCAGCCGUACCGCGUGGGUGAAGAAGGCCUUCGGGUUGUAAAGCCCUUUUGUUGGGAAAGAAAAGCAGCAGGUUAAUACCCCGCUGCUCUGACGGUACCCAAAGAAUAAGCACCGGCUAACUUCGUG
RNAcentral lists this ribosomal RNA (492 nucleotides) under uncultured bacterium. Its description in RNAcentral is "partial 16S ribosomal RNA". It matches the Rfam family "Bacterial small subunit ribosomal RNA", at positions 29 to 507 of the family's 1533-position model. The record is from RNAcentral.